RNAcentral lists this ribosomal RNA (533 nucleotides) under uncultured bacterium. RNAcentral describes it as "bacterial SSU rRNA". It matches the Rfam family "Bacterial small subunit ribosomal RNA", at positions 777 to 1316 of the family's 1533-position model. The record is from RNAcentral.
AAUAGAUACCCAGGUAGUCCACGCCGUAAACGAUGGAUACUAGCUGUUUGGUAGUAAUACUGAGUGGCUAAGCGAAAGUGAUAAGUAUCCCACCUGGGGAGUACGGGCGCAAGCCUGAAACUCAAAGGAAUUGACGGGGGCCCGCACAAGCGGUGGAGCAUGUGGUUUAAUUCGAUGAUACGCGAGGAACCUUACCAGGGCUUAAAUGUAGUUUGACGUUAUUGGAAACAGUAAUUUCUUCGGACAAAUUACAAGGUGCUGCAUGGUUGUCGUCAGCUCGUGCCGUGAGGUGUCAGGUUAAGUCCUAUAACGAGCGCAACCCCUGUUGUUAGUUGCCAGCGAGUAAUGUCGGGAACUCUAGCAAGACUGCCAGUGUAAACUGCGAGGAAGGUGGGGAUGACGUCAAAUCAUCACGGCCCUUACGUCCUGGGCCACACACGUGCUACAAUGGCCGGUACAGAGAGCAGCCACUAUGCGAAUAGGAGCGAAUCUAUAAAGCCGGUCACAGUUCGGAUCGGAGUCUGCAACUCGAC